GCCAGUGUGGUGUAGUGGUUUGAGGGUUGAACUAUGACUCUGGAGACCAGGGUUCAAUUCUCUGCUUGGCCA
RNAcentral lists this transfer RNA (72 nucleotides) under Phrynosoma platyrhinos (Desert horned lizard). RNAcentral describes it as "tRNA-OTHER". Lineage: Eukaryota; Metazoa; Chordata; Lepidosauria; Squamata; Phrynosomatidae. The record is from RNAcentral.